Non-coding RNA from Musa acuminata subsp. malaccensis (wild Malaysian banana), 1362 nucleotides. The record is from RefSeq and is a predicted model, not a curated record. Lineage: Eukaryota; Viridiplantae; Streptophyta; Magnoliopsida; Zingiberales; Musaceae.
UAGAGAUUGAGAGGCAACCAGCGCGGUGAGUCGGCGAUGGAGGCGGUCUACUUGCUUUGCUACGUCGCUUCCACCACCAUCACUUCCUCCCUCCUCUCCCUUGCCCUCGCCUUCCAAUCCAUUCGUCUCUUCUUCUGCCGCUUUGGGUCUCCAGGUCCGGAAGUGGGCGGUCGCGAGGGUGACGGCGACGGCGACGGCGAUGCCGCCGUGUGGCUCUACGAGGGCCGCGUGCACCACGCGAGGCGGCGCCCUGUCGCGCAUGCAUUCGAGUAUCCUGUCCGGUACGCGCUCAUCGACCUCGACCGCGUCCCCCAGCCUCCCCACCUCUCCGCGGACCGGGCCCGCGAGAUCGCCCACACCAACGGACCUGUGUUCCUGCUGACGAUUCCAGCGAAUAUGGGGUACGAGCAGAACCCUUUGAGUGUCUACUACUGCUACGAAGUGGCGGAAGACGAAGGACGAGAAGAAGUUGGGCCUGCGCCCAUCCUUAGGAUGUGCAUUGCCGAGGUGACAAAUACGCCAUGGGGCGAGCGGGUGUCGUUCGUCUUCUGCCCGGGAUCUGAUGUGGUUGCGAAACCCCUGCAUGUCAGCCCCUUCAUGGAUAUGCUAGGAAAUUGGUGCAUGUUUGCUGAUGCACCAGGGGAGGAUCUUUCACUUGUAAUCUCAGUCCAACACCCCACCCUUGGAAACUACUUUACUGCAACUUUACGUGCCCGAAGAGUCCAUUCAUUUGAUUCAAAUUUUCUAGCAACAUAUUUUUGGUUGAUGCCCCAUAAGGUUGCAAUGUGGAUAUACUGGCAGGCUCUCAAGCUCUGGUGGAAGAAUGUCAAAUUUUUAGAUCAUCCGAAGUAUCUAAGCUCCAGAUAUAGAGAUGAUGCUGUACUACGUGAUCGGGAACUUCUCUCUCAAAAUGCUGGACAGAGCAAAAUCCUUCCAAAUUGCACAAGCAACAUGGACUUCAAAGGUAGAUGGUGUGUGUGGAGUGAAGCUCCAUGGCCAUGGUCAUGAUGCUCUUAAGGGUUUGUAUAAUUAUAGUGAAAUGGCGGAGAAUCAAUUGUAUUCGUGAAGCAUCUUGGAUGGCACCUCAGGCUUUUGAGGCUUCUCAUGGGAAACAUAACUUGAAAUACUAAGCAAGCAUAACAGGUUACUCUCCUUCUUCCUUCCUUGGUGGAUAAUUCUGUCAAAUGCAUUUGCAUCAACCCAUGAAGACUUUAUCUUCUUCUUAUCUUGCCAGUUUUGUGUUCAAACUGCUGUAGUAGCCAGCAAUUGCAUUUUGCUUCUAGUUUUAUCUUGUGCUAGUACAAACAAUUUAUUUAAUCUUGUGCAGAACGAAAAGAAGAAAAAUAACCUCAUUUUCAUGUA